This 77-nucleotide transfer RNA is filed under the name Actinomycetota bacterium. RNAcentral describes it as "Actinobacteria bacterium (soil metagenome) tRNA-Gln". It matches the Rfam family "tRNA". From Rfam's summary of the family: Transfer RNA (tRNA) molecules are approximately 80 nucleotides in length. Their secondary structure includes four short double-helical elements and three loops (D, anti-codon, and T loops). Further hydrogen bonds mediate the characteristic L-shaped molecular structure. tRNAs have two regions of fundamental functional importance: the anti-codon, which is responsible for specific mRNA codon recognition, and the 3' end, to which the tRNAs corresponding amino acid is attached (by aminoacyl-tRNA synthetases). tRNAs cope with the degeneracy of the genetic code in two manners: having more than one tRNA (with a specific anti-codon) for a particular amino acid; and 'wobble' base-pairing, i.e. permitting non-standard base-pairing at the 3rd anti-codon position. The record is from RNAcentral. Lineage: Bacteria; Bacillati; Actinomycetota.
UGGGGAAUGGUGUAAUCAGGCAACACAUCUGACUCUGGAUCAGAAGAUUCCAAGUUCGAGUCUUGGUUCCCCAGCCG